Molecule: ribosomal RNA, 303 nt
Filed under: Klebsiella aerogenes
Lineage: Bacteria; Pseudomonadati; Pseudomonadota; Gammaproteobacteria; Enterobacterales; Enterobacteriaceae
Description: partial 16S ribosomal RNA
Rfam family: Bacterial small subunit ribosomal RNA
Source: RNAcentral
UGGCAUAUACAAAGAGAAGCGACCUCGCGAGAGCAAGCGGACCUCAUAAAGUAUGUCGUAGUCCGGAUUGGAGUCUGCAACUCGACUCCAUGAAGUCGGAAUCGCUAGUAAUCGUAGAUCAGAAUGCUACGGUGAAUACGUUCCCGGGCCUUGUACACACCGCCCGUCACACCAUGGGAGUGGGUUGCAAAAGAAGUAGGUAGCUUAACCUUCGGGAGGGCGCUUACCACUUUGUGAUUCAUGACUGGGGUGAAGUCGUAACAAGGUAACCGUAGGGGAACCUGCGGUUGGAUCACCUCCUUA